GCGGGAGUAGUUCAGCGGUAGAACACCACCUUGCCAAGGUGGGGGUCGCGAGUUCGAAUCUCGUCUUCCGCUCCA
This 75-nucleotide transfer RNA is filed under the name Alkalicoccus chagannorensis. Its description in RNAcentral is "tRNA-Gly(gcc)". It matches the Rfam family "tRNA". From Rfam's summary of the family: Transfer RNA (tRNA) molecules are approximately 80 nucleotides in length. Their secondary structure includes four short double-helical elements and three loops (D, anti-codon, and T loops). The record is from RNAcentral. Lineage: Bacteria; Bacillati; Bacillota; Bacilli; Caryophanales; Bacillaceae. RNAcentral also lists the same sequence under 8 other names.